RNAcentral lists this ribosomal RNA (437 nucleotides) under uncultured Parvibaculum sp. RNAcentral describes it as "bacterial SSU rRNA". It matches the Rfam family "Bacterial small subunit ribosomal RNA", at positions 8 to 491 of the family's 1533-position model. Lineage: Bacteria; Pseudomonadati; Pseudomonadota; Alphaproteobacteria; Hyphomicrobiales; Parvibaculaceae. The record is from RNAcentral.
AGAGUUUGAUCAUGGCUCAGAACGAACGCUGGCGGCAGGCUUAACACAUGCAAGUCGAACGGCUGUAGCAAUACAGCAGUGGCAGACGGGUGAGUAACACGUGGGAACCUUCCUAGGGGUACGGAACAACUCAGGGAAACUUGAGCUAAUACCGUAUACGUCCGUAAGGAGAAAGAUUCAUCGCCCCUAGACGGGCCCGCGUCGGAUUAGGUAGUUGGUGGGGUAACGGCCUACCAAGCCUGCGAUCCGUAGCUGAUCUGAGAGGAUGAUCAGCCACACUGGGACUGAGACACGGCCCAGACUCCUACGGGAGGCAGCAGUGGGGAAUCUUGGACAAUGGGCGCAAGCCUGAUCCAGCCAUGCCGCGUGAGUGAAGAAGGCCUUAGGGUUGUAAAGCUCUUUUACCAGGGACGAUAAUGACGGUACCUGAGAAUAGC